Molecule: long non-coding RNA, 224 nt
Filed under: Hordeum vulgare
Lineage: Eukaryota; Viridiplantae; Streptophyta; Magnoliopsida; Poales; Poaceae
Description: long non-coding RNA (HVUL_LNC002963)
Source: RNAcentral
CAUGGUUCAUUGAAAUGAUGAUUCAGUUGUCCAGGCAGAACGACACAACCAGGCCAGCUCGAAUAAAUCCCACAAUUUGCAGGGUCUGGUUAACAACUCACAAAGAAAUUGUCACAAAUCCUAAGGUACCAGCACUCCCAUUAGGCGCAAGUACAAAGUCACUACACCGAGUGGCUCGAUUCUAGCAUACGCGCAAGUUUCUGAAUUUCCCAAGUAAAAGCAGC